AACCUCUUCCUCCCAUUAAUGAUACUCGUGUAAAUGUUCGAAAAACUGAAGGUGAUCAUAAUGAAUCAAAUUGAUUGUCAUUUAGUCAUUUAUGUGUAUAGAACAAAACAAUGAUUUGAUAACAAUUAACAUGAGAUACUAACAUUUAAAAAAAAUAAAAACAUAAAAAAAUAAAAACUUGCUUCAAAAGAGUAUUUACUUGAUUUUAAUGAUUUGGCUUGUGUUCUUUAUCUUGAUAGGUAUACACAUAAAACGUCUUCCUCACAUCAACAAGGAUAAUCAUAUAAAAGUUGAAAAACAUGAAAGCGACCAAAGUGAUCAAGGCGUCUCUCAGACCAAAAUGAGAAUCAAAGGCACCUCAUUUCCUUAGGUAUUUUACAUCUCCACAAUCCAAUUUGGUUUUUGUUAAUGCCACGGUAAAUUGUUCCAUAAUGCUACUACAAAAAUAUAUGAACAUCUUUAUUCCGUAGUUCCUAUUUAGGGUUAUAAAUAAGUCGAGCCAAACAAAAUAUUAUGCUGCUCAGGCUUGAUUUAUUGGCUUGCUUAUGAUACAAGCCGAUCGAGCCAGAGUGAGCUUCAAAAAUUCAGGCUUGAUACAAAGCCCAAGUUGUUUGGAGUCAUUUACUAGACACAUCAAUUUUCACCCUUUUUGUUUUAAAGAAAACAAAAGCAUAGUUUUUAUUAAAUCAAUACAGUACAUUAAUUUGAAAAUGCUUUUAAAAUGACUAGAAGUGUUUUUGGUGAAAAUAUUUUUGAAACCAAUAUUUAGUAAAAAUCCAAAUGGAUCUUGGAAAAGCACUCUAAGUGCUUCCUGCAAGAAGCAUAUAUUUGGUGCUUUUUCUAAAGUGCUUUUGGAACCCAAAAAAUAAUAUCACCGAAAGUGCUUUCAGUCAUUUUAAAAGCAUUUUCAAAUGAGUCCAAAAACUUUUUGAACUUAUUCUACAUCAGUUACAAUUUGGAAGCCAUUGUACACGUUACAAGCAAGUAAAGAAACUCUCAAUUUUAAUUUCGAUAUCAACAUGAAAUGCUAUAAUGACUUAAUUGAGGGUAAUUUGGGAAACCCGAAAAAUGUUAAAUAUGACACAAUCUCAUUUAGGUAAUUUGUUUACGGGGAAUCUAGUCAUCGGGUUUUCUUUAGUAAAAUAGUUUAUUGUGGGUUUUAUGUAAAGAAAAUUGAGUUUGAAGGGUUUUCAGUGAUUUUAUUUUAACAUUUAGCAUAUAAACAGUGAGUAUAAAUUUAAAAGGCAACUGUUGACUUUGCUAUUAUAUAGAGUCCUUUAUAGAGUCUCUUAGAGAUGAUUUUUUCAUAUUUCACUCUUUAAAAUAGAGUUUUAAUGGUUUUACAGUUUCUCUUGGAGAUGCUCUAAGGGGUAGGGUAGUGGCUAAACCUUACAAUGGGUAGCCAUAAUAAUUUGAUUUGAAUUCGCCUUUGACGAGGAUCAAACCUAAGACCUCUCAAUUACAAGUGAAGAGUAAUAUCACUAAAUCUUAGUAAUAAGUGAUUCCGCCAAUAUAAUUUUAAAGGUUAAAAAAGGCAGGAAUUGAGGAACAUAAUAAAAUAAAUUAAAUUAAAUAAAAAAGUACUUUGGAUGCAGUCCCUAAUCCUUAAUACUCUUUAACUAAAACCUUAAUGAUAUUCAAAGUUUGAUCAAAGUUCUUUGACUUUGUACACCUCAUUAUAUUACUAUUAAUAUUUAUAUUUCUAUAGGUUUGACAUUAAUUGUUUGAUAUUUUAUGAGAUUUAUAAUCCUAUAAAUUUAAAAUCUCUCAUUAUAAUACUAUAGAAACGGCUACAAUAAAAAAAUUGAAACACUUUGAUUGAAUAAAUAGUUAAAAACUAUGUCACAAUAUGAAAUAAUAAAUGACAAAAGAAUGUAUCCUUUGUGUCAAAAAAAAAUUGGCACAUUUUACAUAUAAAAUCUUACAAAAAAGGAGUACAUUUUACAAAAAGAAUUGGUACAUUUUACAUAUAACAAAGUGGUACAUUAAUAAAAAAGAAUGGGUACAUUAUAAAUAAGUUACGGUACAAAUAAAAGAUUAAACAAAAUGAAUUUUAAAAAAUAUGAGAACAAAAAGAAAUUAAUACAUGGGUACAAAUUAAAACUAAAAACAAAAUAGUACAAAUUUAAAAAAAAAAAAGGUCACAAAUUAAAAGUGGGUAUAAACUAAAAAUAUAAAUAUAUGAUACAAAGUUUAGCCAUAAAAUAUAGAUAUACCAUAUGUAAUUUUUCUAACACUAAAUGAAUAUUUUAGAAAUUUAAAGUA
This 2265-nucleotide long non-coding RNA is filed under the name Malus domestica (apple). RNAcentral describes it as "long non-coding RNA (MDOM_LNC016550)". The record is from RNAcentral. Lineage: Eukaryota; Viridiplantae; Streptophyta; Magnoliopsida; Rosales; Rosaceae.